GGGAAUAUUAAAAUGUUGGUGCAUUUCGUGGUCUUCAAAACCAUUGUGAGAAUCAAAAAUUCUCUUGUAGGUUCGAUUCCUGCAUAUUCCC
Molecule: transfer RNA, 91 nt
Filed under: Peptostreptococcaceae bacterium AS15
Lineage: Bacteria; Bacillati; Bacillota; Clostridia; Peptostreptococcales; Peptostreptococcaceae
Description: Eubacterium sp. AS15b Selenocysteine transfer RNA
Rfam family: Selenocysteine transfer RNA
Source: Rfam by way of RNAcentral